UAGCUCAGUUGGUAGAGCAUGAGACUCUUAAUCUCAGGGUCGUGGGUUCAGGAGUCAGCCCCAC
RNAcentral lists this transfer RNA (64 nucleotides) under Cavia porcellus (domestic guinea pig). It matches the Rfam family "tRNA", at positions 8 to 63 of the family's 71-position model. From Rfam's summary of the family: Transfer RNA (tRNA) molecules are approximately 80 nucleotides in length. Their secondary structure includes four short double-helical elements and three loops (D, anti-codon, and T loops). The record is from Rfam by way of RNAcentral. Lineage: Eukaryota; Metazoa; Chordata; Mammalia; Rodentia; Caviidae.